CGUAGGGGAACUGCGGCUGGAUCACCUCCUUU
This 32-nucleotide ribosomal RNA is filed under the name Roseobacter denitrificans. RNAcentral's name for it is "partial 16S ribosomal RNA". Lineage: Bacteria; Pseudomonadati; Pseudomonadota; Alphaproteobacteria; Rhodobacterales; Roseobacteraceae. The record is from RNAcentral. RNAcentral also lists the same sequence under 4 other names.